UGGAUUAGUGGCGGACGGGUGAGUAACGCGUGAGUAACCUGCCUUGUACAAGGGGAUAGCCGUUGGAAACGACGAAUAAUACCCUAUGAUAUGAUAAUAUCGCAUGAAAUUAUCAUCAAAGAUUUAUCGGUAUAAGAUGGACUCGCGUCUGAUUAGCUAGUUGGUGGAGUAACAGCCCACCAAGGCGACGAUCAGUAGCCGGCUUGAGAGAGUGUACGGCCACAUUGGGACUGAGACACGGCCCAGACUCC
This 251-nucleotide ribosomal RNA is filed under the name uncultured Anaerococcus sp. RNAcentral's name for it is "partial 16S ribosomal RNA". It matches the Rfam family "Bacterial small subunit ribosomal RNA", at positions 88 to 339 of the family's 1533-position model. Lineage: Bacteria; Bacillati; Bacillota; Tissierellia; Tissierellales; Peptoniphilaceae. The record is from RNAcentral.